UCUUCUUCUUCUUCUCUUUCUCGUUUCGAGAAGAAUAUAAUUCUCGCGCAUACUUUCCACGAAUUCCCCCUCCUCCUCCUCCUUCUUCCCCCUCCUCUCUUUAAAAACCAAACACGGACAGCAUUUCCGAAAAUUUCCGCGCAAACAAGCGAGUAAUUACGCGCAAAGUUUAUAUCUCCUCGUCCCACCAUCGCGACGAUUUUAAACCGGAUCCGACCAACCGGAUCCCACGCCAAAACUUUGCGAGGGGAACAAUUCCAAGUUUGGCCAGGUUCGGCCGUAGUUCGAAUUCCGGGGCGUUAAGUUUCAAAUUAGAGGGUGUGCGUGUGUGUAUGCGUGUAUGUGACGAAUCCCCCCUCCCCUCUUCCCAUCCAUCGCCUAAUAACGCCUUAAUGAUCGUCGUUACCGAGCGGGUAGGCGGUGGGGGAAAGGAGAAGGGGUGUCGGGGAUAAUUGCGGAAUUAAGGAUGGACGCGCGUCGUAUUGGCACGCGUUGUUUUUCCCUCUCCAGCGACGACAACAACAACAAACGGGCGCUGUAAUUUUCGCCCGAUCGAGGAUAAUUGGUCCUCCCCCCCUCUCCCCUCCUAAUGACAGGCCAAUCCUUGAGCCGCAUUGUCUCACGUCAAACCGCCCACGCGAGACCGAAUAAAUAUUUAUUCGCAUUGAGAUUCAUCUGCAUUGAAAAGCAUCGAGCGCCAUCUGGAAAAAUGGCGGCGGUUGUACAAUUGGAUUCGUUACGGAUUUCGUUACUUGAGUGAGUGGGAGAGAGAGAGGGGAGGAUGGACGGGAAGUGGAACGGUUUCUUCUUUGUUCUAGAAUUUUCCGUUUCUUUUCUCUUUUUUUAAUAGACGAGGUUUGUGGUUUCGAAGGAUUGUUCAAGAAAUAGUGUCAGAUUUCGAAUUUGGAUCUCGAUUGGUUUUAUCGAGAGAUUCAUAUUAAAUUGAUAAAAGUAAACGUGGAAGGAUGAUUAUGACUUAUAUUUGGAAUAAUUUUAGAAAGUUAAUUUUGACUUCAAUGCUUGAGAAUUAUUUGAUGAAAUGACUCACCCCUUGGACGAUGGAGACGAGCUUCUGGCACUAUAUGCACAACGACGAUGAACGCUUGAAGCAUCAGUGGAUAACGCAUGGUUGCAGUCAGGCCGGGAUACGCCAACUUUUAAUUUACGAGAUUAUAACGUUGUUGACGAAGAAUUAUGUUCUUAAGUUGUGCAAGUGGAGAGCAAUCGUUGAAAAGUUAUUAAAAUAAUUGUUUAAUUGAUUCGUCGAAAAUCCAAACACGCCGCUAUUCGUCGAACAAAAAUCCGAAUAGGAUAAGACGACAAAUCCGAGGUUUAAUCUCGAGUGAAAAGAAAAAAAAAACGUUCGAAACAACCCAACACAGUUCGGAUUAGAACACCAGGGCGAUAAAACGUUUAGAGGCGGGAUUCGAGGACACAAGGCCAAACCGAUCGAUAUCUAAAAGAAGAAGAAGCUUAAAACUGGAACGAGUCUUUCUUUGUUGUUGUAAAAAACAAAGUUCGAAAUUGACGAUUCUCAGAUUAUUUUUCCUACAGGCAGAGAAAGAAUGGUGAGUUUUUCACCGGCUUGGAAUAACAAGGAAAGGAGAGGAAUAAUCCCUGCGAAAAGAAAGGAAUUGAAGUUGAGUUGCAGCUUGGUCGGUAAGGAAGGAAGGAAGAAAAGAAGGAAGGAAAAGGCGGGAUGCUUUCGUAGCAGCAGCUUUGCGUCCCAAGGCAUGAAGCUUGUUACGCGAGAUUCCUCUGGUGGUCAGGCGGAGUAAUGCUCGGUAGUUAUGGUAAUCGGAUUUGAACGAGAGCCCCCAUGAUUGGACUCGAUACAACCCUACCUACCUCUCCCUCCCCUCCCUCCCUCCCUGUGAAUAGCCGGAUUUAUUUUGUAUUAUCACGUGUCCCCGCGUUCCCAAUUAUUUGCCGCUCCAGUUUCAUUAUAUUAUCCACAGGGGGCGCUGCAAAAUGCUGGAAAAUUAUUGCGAGCCAACCACAGACGACGAUGGUCGCGAAAACAAGAAAAUUUGAUCGGUUUGAGCAGAUUCUCCUCCAACGAAAAUUUUUCCAAGUUGGUAUUAUAAUCAAUCGAUCCGAUAUGAAAUCGAGGCAAUUAUAUUUUAAACUGUGCGAAGAACAAAGAAACUCAUGAAUAAUAAUCGAAUCUGCGUUUCUUCUUCGCGACUGUCGAUUAUCGAAUCGAAUAAAUGAAAAAGAGGCGACGAAGGAAAAGAAAAAAAGGAAAAAUUAGCAAUCGAGCCGAUUCGAAGUCGGAGCACGGAGAAAAUAAAUGUUAAUUGCCAUUGCAAAUGUAUCGAAAGUUCGCUCGUGUUGAUAGCUAUCCCCGCGUGGCUAAUUACUGAUCUCGUAGACAGAGGGAGAAAGAGAGAGUUAAUCAACUGACUUUGAUUUCCCCAAACCCUUUCGGUAUUCCGCACCGUUUGCCACCCUUCUGUUGCUAAUUGGGACAAGGGCUGAUAGAUAUACACGUAGAAUUGCGCGUGCACAGGCGUUAAAUUUAUUUCAAACUGAAAAUUUCAAUCGAUUGACAAUAAUUCGUUGAUUGCAAAGGUAAAUUAUCGAAUAUCGGUAAUUUUAAUACCCGUUGAAAUUGUGGAUUCAGUCUUAUUACUGUUAUUACCUUUUUUUUUUUUACUUUUAAGAUAGAUUAUGCAAUAAUUGGAAAUUACAAAAAUUGUACAAUUGUAUCAUAUUUUUCUCUAUAAGGUUAGAAUUUGAUUGCUAAAGAAUUUGAUGCUUAAAUUUCAUAUUUUAUUAGUAAAAGAUUAGGUUAUGUUAGGUUAGGAAUUAAUUGGCCUCUCUAUAAGGUUAGAAUUUGAUUGCUAAAUGGUUACUAUAUUUUAUAUUUUAUUAGUUUAAAAGAUUAGGUUAUGUUAGGUUAAGAAUUUUGUGAUAUCAAAGUAUUGUCAGAUGUUAUUUAAUAUAUUAUAAUUCUUAUUUAAUUAUAAUUUCAUAUUUUAUUAGUAAAAGAUUAGAUUAGGAAUUAAAUUGGCCUUUUUAUAUUAUUAUAUUUAUUGUUAGGAAUUUUGUGAUAUCAAAUUAUUGUCAGAUGUUAUUUAAUAUAUUAUAAUUCAUAUUUUAUUAGUAAAAAAUUAGGUUAUGUUAGGAAUUAAAUUGGCCUUUUUAUAUUAUUACAUUUAUUGUUAGGAAUUUUGUGAUAUCAAAUUAUUGUCAGAUGUUAUUUAAUAU
Apis mellifera (honey bee) is the source of this 3213-nucleotide long non-coding RNA. RefSeq lists it as uncharacterized. The record is from RefSeq and is a predicted model, not a curated record. NCBI's taxonomy places the organism in Eukaryota, Metazoa, Arthropoda, Insecta, Hymenoptera, Apidae. The transcript is spliced from 5 exons.